This is a non-coding RNA of Phrynosoma platyrhinos (Desert horned lizard), 70 nucleotides long. The record is from the annotation of a GenBank genome assembly. Lineage: Eukaryota; Metazoa; Chordata; Lepidosauria; Squamata; Phrynosomatidae.
GCCAGUGUGUUGUAAUGGUUUGAGCUGGACUAUGACUCUGGAGAGCAGGGUUCAAUUCCCAGCUUGGCCA